AGAGUUUGAUCCUGGCUCAGAUUGAACGCUGGCGGCAUGCCUUACACAUGCAAGUCGAACGGCAGCACGGGAGCAAUCCUGGUGGCGAGUGGCGAACGGGUGAGUAAUACAUCGGAACGUGUCCUGUUGUGGGGGAUAGCCCGGCGAAAGCCGGAUUAAUACCGCAUACGACCUACGGGUGAAAGCGGGGGACCGCAAGGCCUCGCGCUACAGGAGCGGCCGAUGUCAGAUUAGCUAGUUGGUGGGGUAAAGGCCUACCAAGGCGACGAUCUGUAGCUGGUCUGAGAGGACGACCAGCCACACUGGGACUGAGACACGGCCCAGACUCCUACGGGAGGCAGCAGUGGGGAAUUUUGGACAAUGGGGGCAACCCUGAUCCAGCCAUGCCGCGUGCGGGAAGAAGGCCUUCGGGUUGUAAACCGCUUUUGUCGGGGAAGAAACGGUCUGCGCUAAUACCGCGGACUAAUGACGGUACCCGAAGAAUAAGCACCGGCUAACUACGUGCCAGCAGCCGCGGUAAUACGUAGGGUGCAAGCGUUAAUCGGAAUUACUGGGCGUAAAGCGUGCGCAGGCGGCUUUGCAAGACAGAUGUGAAAUCCCCGGGC
RNAcentral lists this ribosomal RNA (605 nucleotides) under uncultured bacterium. RNAcentral describes it as "bacterial SSU rRNA". It matches the Rfam family "Bacterial small subunit ribosomal RNA", at positions 8 to 608 of the family's 1533-position model. The record is from RNAcentral.